Molecule: non-coding RNA, 76 nt
Organism: Podarcis lilfordi (Lilford's wall lizard)
Lineage: Eukaryota; Metazoa; Chordata; Lepidosauria; Squamata; Lacertidae
Source: the annotation of a GenBank genome assembly
UGUAUGUAUGUGUGUGUGUGUGUGUGUGUGUGUGUGUAUACACACACACACACACACACACACACACACACAUAUC